AUUGAACGCUGGCGGCAUGCUUUACACAUGCAAGUCGAACGGUAACAGGCCGCAAGGUGCUGACGAGUGGCGAACGGGUGAGUAAUGCUUCGGAACGUGCCCAGUCGUGGGGGAUAACUACUCGAAAGAGUAGCUAAUACCGCAUACGAUCUAUGGAUGAAAGCGGGGGACCGUAAGGCCUCGCGCGAUUGGAGCGGCCGAUGUCAGAUUAGGUAGUUGGUGGGGUAAAGGCUCACCAAGCCAACGAUCUGUAGCUGGUCUGAGAGGACGACCAGCCACACUGGGACUGAGACACGGCCCAGACUCCUACGGGAGGCAGCAGUGGGGAAUUUUGGACAAUGGGCGCAAGCCUGAUCCAGCAAUGCCGCGUGCAGGAAGAAGGCCUUCGGGUUGUAAACUGCUUUUGUACGGAACGAAACGGCUCUGGUUAAUACCCGGGGCUAAUGACGGUACCGUAAGAAUAAGCACCGGCUAACUACGUG
This 482-nucleotide ribosomal RNA is filed under the name uncultured bacterium. RNAcentral describes it as "partial 16S ribosomal RNA". It matches the Rfam family "Bacterial small subunit ribosomal RNA", at positions 30 to 507 of the family's 1533-position model. The record is from RNAcentral.